Molecule: non-coding RNA, 2551 nt
Organism: Elaeis guineensis (African oil palm)
Lineage: Eukaryota; Viridiplantae; Streptophyta; Magnoliopsida; Arecales; Arecaceae
Source: RefSeq, a predicted model, not a curated record
GAGCAUCCAAGAUGUCCCAUUCACAGUGGGACUUGAUGUCCAUGAAGGGCUCUAUUGCCCAAGGAUCCAGAAAAAAAGAAAGCAUUCUCCACCAAAGGAUCAGAAGGCUCCUCGAUCUUCGGGUUUGCAAUCUCCUCAAGCUUAGGUUUUGUCAUCUCCUCCACCAGAGUUAUCGGUGGACUAUGCUGUAGAUGGCUUGCUGGAUUAGCCAGGUUCUUCUUCUAACCAGCAGCAGGAUGCGUGUUUGGAGGGUUCCUCUCAUGACUCCAUCGUGAAGGGUUCUUUUGCAAUUUCAUGUGCUCAGCUUGAUCAAUUGGGCUUUGGUAACUCAUCUUCCUCAUACUGUUCAUUUUACUCAUCUACAGCAUGUUUUAUCUUCUGUGGAGUCUCGAUGGGAAGAUAUUAUUCAUACAAUUUCUCAAGAUGAACUAUAACUGAGAAUAGGGAGGCUGCAAUUGUAACUAGGGUUAGGGAUUGAGCUUAGCGGUGGUAAUUUUAGCUGACCUGUCGCCCAAUCCGAAUGGGAGGGAUUUUAUCCAAUCCGAUUGGAACUCAGGAUAGGUAUGAGUUCUAAAAAAAAUAUCCGAAGUGGGCUGCGAUUGGGUACGGAUAAUAUGCUUCGAUCUAAAUCCAAUUCAAUAUAAGCAUAAUAUAUAUUUUAUUUUUAAAAUUAUAAUAAUUUUAUAUAUUUACAUAUAUUUAACCCGACUUGAUCUGAUCAAUACUUUCUAUAUAUCUGAUUCAAUUUGAUCCGAUCUCUAUUUGACCCAACCCCAAGAUAAGUAUGAGGUGGAUAUGGGUAUGAAAUUUUUACUUGAAGGAUAGGUAUGGGAAUGGACUGAUCUGGUAUCCGGCUUGGUGCCGUCCCUAAUUGGGCUUUUUGUAUUGGAUCUGCUAUUAGGGGUGAAGAGGGGUCUCUAAAUUUUUUCCGGUUAUCUGGAUGCAGGUUCUUGUUUGGAGUUGGCAUGGGACUGCUAAGCCUUUUUUUAUCACUUUAAGUCUUUGAUCCAUCAGCAUCAACCUGAUAUUUGCUAUUUUUUUUGGAGACAAGACUCGCUGAAGAGUCUUUGCCUCAUGUUUGUAACCUUUUAGCCAUGUUUGGAAUGUGUAUUUUGUUUCUAGCUCAGGGUUUGUCAAGUGGUAUCAUUAUUGCAUGUCGUAAAGGGUUAGGUCCGGUGGAUUUUCCAUAUAGAUUGCCCAAUAGUUUUUCGAGUAUUGAUUACUACACCAUCCUUUUCUUCUUGGAUCUUGGGGGUUUUAUAUGCUAGUACAAAUGUGCUCUGCAGAAGGGUCAUUUGGAAUCAAUUGUUCAGGUUUUGUAGUUGGAUCUUCCAUUUGCUUUAAUUGGUGAUUUCAAUUGCAUAUUAAAUCAAGAUGAUAAGCUUUUUUUACUAAAUUGGGUAUUCGGGAGUUUUGAUAGCUUCUCUGUACUAUUGGCCUGGUUGAUUUAGGGUUUCAGGGUCUUUAUACUUGGUGCAAUAAUUAGCAUGAUUCUAUGCGAAGUUGGGAGAGGCUGGAUUAGGCUUUUGCAUUUGAUAGCCAGUUAAACAUGUAUAUAGAAUCUAAAGUGUCACAUCUAUUCCGCUUUGCAUUUGAUCAUUGUCUUUUGCUUUGGUCAAGUCUCGAGGUCCUGCUCUUUUUUGUUUUGAAUGUUUUUGUCUUUUUUGUCAAGGAGUCCAGGAUGUGGUGCAUCAGGCAUGAAUAUGUGAUGGUUCUCAUUCACCAGAUGUUUGAUUGUCUCUCCUAUUACAAAUACCUCUAAAGCAUUUUGCUAGUGGAAUCAGACUAAUGUUGGUAACAUAUUUUACUAUGGUGAAGCUUUACAUCAGGAAUUGCAGCAUCUUCAAGAGGCAGAAGUUCAAUUUGGGCCCUAAAGUUAUUCCGAUCAUGCUCGUCUUAUAACUGUGUUGCAAUCUCAUCAUGAGACUUUAUGGCUCCAAGAGGUCUUUUGGCACCAAAAAUCUUAGGUCCGGUCGUUAUUGGAAGCUAGUAUCAAUACUAAAUUUUUUCAUCGCUCUACACUUUUGCGACGGCAGCCCAAUUGUAUCUCUCGGUUAAUUACUCAUCAAGGGCAGGUUGUUAAUAAUGAAGCAGCUAUUAGGUAGUUAUUGUUGGCCUCUUUUUGAACCGUUGUGUUUUAGGAGAUGUCUUUACUUUUGCCAUCUUCUUACCUGUCUGCUGCCCAAAAUGAGUCGUUAGUUCAAGUAGUCACUAAAGAAGUGGUUGAGGGAGCCAUGUUUAGUAUGCAGUUUGAUAAGGCCCCCAGACCAAAUGGGUUUCAGUCUUUCUUUUUUCUUGAGUUCUGGCAUAUUGUCCAUUUGGAUGUCAUUAAUGCUAUAAAGCACUUUUUUCAACAUGAUCUUAUGCCAGUUUCUUGAAAGCAGCCGUUUAUCACUUUAUUGCCAAAAAAAUCUAAUUCGAAAAGGGUAGUGGAUUAUAGACCGAUUAGUCUACGCAAUAUCAUCUAUAAGUUGGUGCUAAAAUUUUGGUGUGUAAACUGCAACCAUUGCUUCGGAGGUUAGUUUCUAAUGAAUAGGGAGUAUUUGUUCAG